CCGGUUUUACAGGUGAGGUGCCCAAGGCUCAGAAAGCCUAGGAAACUUGCCUAAAAUUGAAAAACUAAAGUAAAAGAACUUGGAUCCAGGAUUGAUGGAUUUUUAAAGCAUCAUCUCUUAACCACCGUGCUGUGGGGCAACAUGUUUAUUAUGUGUCGGAGGCACUGGAAUUCUGAGGAGGAACAGGAAGGACAGGUUCUUGACUUCAGAAAGCUUGAGUUCAACCACUCACCAGCACACACAGAGUUACUGUCACUUGUAUGCUCCAAGACUCCUACAACCAAGGGGUCCAUGUCCCAUCUUUACCCGUCACACUACUCUCAGAACUCCUGCCCUUGAUUCCCAGUGUGAACAUCGUGUGUACCAUAAAGACUGCGGUCUUUUCCAGUAGAACUUCGGAUGCUUGAAUUUUACAGGCAACAAUGUGAGCAAUUCGACCACGGAUGCAUGACGCUAUAGUUACUAAGCUCCUGAACUAGCCACUGUUUGUUUUAUAUUGUUUUUUAAUUUGAUUGAGAAGUUUCUCUGACCCCAUUACUCUGUAUUUUCAGAAGAGCAGGACAGAAGAGCAACAGGGCAGGGACCAGGAAGAUUUCAAGCUUGGAGGCUCAGGAAGUCAAGUGAUAGAACGAGAAGAAAUAAAGCAGGGUGAGGUGAAACUCCUUUGCUUCCAUGACCUCCGAAGGGAAGUGAUGAUGUAUCUGAAGGACACUGCACACGACGAUGUAACAGAAAGAAGGAAGCAAAGGUUGCACUAAUUGCAGAGUUUGCCAAGAGUGGACUAGCUGCCAAGGCUACUUCAACCUUCCCAUGAUCUGGGAGACAGCACAGUGUCCUGCUGUGCUGGGCGUCUUCCAGUGGCAUUGACCCAAUAGAGGGGUUGGGGCGAAGACUUCUUGGUAUUAAGAAAGAGAAACUUCCCUCCAAAGUCAAGCUACUGAACCACCUACAUGUGAGAUACAGGAGGACUGACCAAGACCCCUUGAAUCCCAGCAAGAAUGCUGAGAGCAGACUUAAGGGCUUCCAGUUCCUACUCUGCCAGCCUCAUCUGGGGGAGCCGUUCCUAAGGCUCCUGAUGAAUCCAGACACCCACCUCAGCCUCACUCUAGGAAUCCAUCCUUCCCCAAACUGCCUGCAUUUGACCACUGGAGGGCAGUGCUGGACCAGCCAAAUCUCUUUAGGGGCUCUGCUCCACCGUUGUCCCCACCUUGCCCUGGCAUAAGCAGCAUGCAGCCUCUGGUUGGGAGCCAAAACCGAGGACCACGGGAGCACCCUGAGAGCAGCAGCACGGCCAGCACUGUUACAAUGGCUCCCUGCGCCUGGCGUCGUAGGAAUAAAAGGCAGUUCAUUGGAAAGAGGAUUUGGCUCCAUAGGUGACACAGUCCCCUGGGAAAGAGACUGAAAGGAAAACUUGCCUCAUCAUGUCAUUAAGCAGGAACAAUCUGUGCCUCUGACCAGGGGUUGUAGACUCCUACCUUUUUCUACCCUCUCGGAUGUAAGCUCCUGGCAGCACAUACAGUGCUUGGCAAUAAACGUCUGUUGAACGAGUGAA
Long non-coding RNA from Neofelis nebulosa (Clouded leopard), 1552 nucleotides. RefSeq lists it as uncharacterized. NCBI's taxonomy places the organism in Eukaryota, Metazoa, Chordata, Mammalia, Carnivora, Felidae. The transcript has 2 exons. The record is from RefSeq and is a predicted model, not a curated record.